RNAcentral lists this ribosomal RNA (435 nucleotides) under uncultured bacterium. RNAcentral describes it as "partial 16S ribosomal RNA". It matches the Rfam family "Bacterial small subunit ribosomal RNA", at positions 28 to 507 of the family's 1533-position model. The record is from RNAcentral.
GAUGAACGCUGGCGGUAUGCUUAACACAUGCAAGUCGAACGGACUCUUCGGAGUUAGUGGCGGACGGGUGAGUAACGCGUGAGAAUCUGGCUUUGGGUUCGGGACAACCACUGGAAACGGUGGCUAAUACCGGAUGUGCCGAGAGGUAAAAGAGAAAUUGCCUGAAGAUGAGCUCGCGUCUGAUUAGCGAGUUGGUGAGGUAAAGGCUCACCAAGGCAGCGAUCAGUAGCUGGUCUGAGAGGAUGACCAGCCACACUGGGACUGAGACACGGCCCAGACUCCUACGGGAGGCGGCAGUGGGGAAUUUUCCGCAGUGGGCGAACGCCAGACGGAGCAAUACCGCGUGGGGGAAGAAGGCUCUUGUGUUGUAAACCUCUUUUCUUAGGGAAGAACAGAAUGACGGUACCGAAGGAAUCAGCAUCGGCUAACUCCGUG